GAUGAAGAACGCAGCGAAAUGCGAUAAGUUAUGUGAAUUGCAGAAUUCAGUGAAUCAUCGAAUCUUUGAACGCACAUUGCGCCCGCCAGUAUUCUGGCGGGCAUGCCUGUUCGAGCGUCAUUUCAACCAUCAAGCCCCAGGCUUGUGUUGGGGACCUGCGGCUGCCGCAGGCCCUGAAAACCAGUGGCGGGCUCGCUAGUCACACCGAGCGUAGUAGCAUACACAUCGCUCAGGGCGUGCUGCGGGUUCCGGCCGUUAAACCCCUUUUUUACCCAAGGUUGACCUCGGAUCAGGUAGGAAGACCCGCUGAACUUAAGCAUAUCAAUAAGCGGAGGA
Molecule: unclassified non-coding RNA, 336 nt
Filed under: soil metagenome
Description: partial contains 5.8S ribosomal RNA, internal transcribed spacer 2, and large subunit ribosomal RNA
Rfam family: 5.8S ribosomal RNA (bases 1-120)
Source: RNAcentral